UUGUUGAGGGUACUCAUGGUGCUAAUAUUGAAAUUGGUAGUACGUAAAUACAUGAGGACACCUUAGUUGAAGUUGACUUGAGUAAUACCUUUCUCUACUCUCUAUUUUCUUUAGAUGAUAUGUAUGCUAUUGUAGAGAGUAUAUUUUUAUAUUGGGUGAAACCUAUGGAGAAAAAGAGUGUUGUCUAGACCAUUCUCUAUGUCCAAUCAUUCCAUUUGACCCCGGUGCUAAAUGUGG
RNAcentral lists this long non-coding RNA (237 nucleotides) under Capsicum annuum. RNAcentral's name for it is "long non-coding RNA (CANN_LNC022095)". Lineage: Eukaryota; Viridiplantae; Streptophyta; Magnoliopsida; Solanales; Solanaceae. The record is from RNAcentral.